ACUCAUGAUCAUCUGACAACAUCGAGAUGCACCAAGUCCAGAAAAAAUAGAUAAAUCAGUCAUUCUUCUUAAUCAUUAACAGGAUACAAAAUAAUCACUUGCCCAAUUCACCAGCAAGAAAAGAGGGUACCCUUCAUCCCAAGAACAUCAGAGGCCGCCCUCACCAAUGUGGUGCCCUAGAGAUUUUAUCUUGCCCCCGCAAAAGAAGUUGAAUUUGUAACAUUAAAGUCAUAAAAUAACUGUUAAUGGUU
This is a long non-coding RNA of Hippocampus zosterae (dwarf seahorse), 251 nucleotides long. RefSeq lists it as uncharacterized. The record is from RefSeq and is a predicted model, not a curated record. Lineage: Eukaryota; Metazoa; Chordata; Actinopteri; Syngnathiformes; Syngnathidae. The transcript has 2 exons.